GUUGCCCACAUCUGUCUGAGGAUCUGGAUAAUUGGAGGGUGUGGAAAGAAAGCCAUGGAGGACUUGUAUGCAUCUGGAGAAUGGAAAGAAUCCAAAUUUCAGUGACCUGAGAAGCUGUCACACCCUUGGUUUCAAACAGCCCCUUUGAACAGAGCAUGUCUUGACAGAGAAGGGUAUAGACCCCAUACUUCCACUGCCUUGGGUUUGACAGAAACACUGUGUGAGAAAGAAUCAGGGAUAGAGACACAGGAACUUCAAGCAGGGAAAUCACAGAAUAAGAGAAGGAUGAAUUUAAAGACAUCAUUGGAACUUACAGAAGAAUGGCCAUUUGAAGACAUGGGGGAGAAGACAACCAUCUACAAGCCAAGGAGGAAGGCCUCUGAAGAAAUCAAACUUGCCAAUGCCUUGAUCUUGGACUUCUAG
Long non-coding RNA from Mustela erminea (ermine), 423 nucleotides. RefSeq lists it as uncharacterized. The transcript is spliced from 4 exons. Lineage: Eukaryota; Metazoa; Chordata; Mammalia; Carnivora; Mustelidae. The record is from RefSeq and is a predicted model, not a curated record.